Molecule: ribosomal RNA, 427 nt
Filed under: uncultured bacterium
Lineage: Bacteria
Description: partial 16S ribosomal RNA
Rfam family: Bacterial small subunit ribosomal RNA
Source: RNAcentral
UGGGGAAUAUUGCACAAUGGGCGCAAGCCUGAUGCAGCCAUGCCGCGUGUAUGAAGAAGGCCUUCGGGUUGUAAAGUACUUUCAGCGAGGAGGAAGGCGGUAAGGUUAAUAACCUUAUCGAUUGACGUUACUCGCAGAAGAAGCACCGGCUAACUCCGUGCCAGCAGACGCGGUAAUACGGAGGGUGCAAGCGUUAAUCGGAAUUACUGGGCGUAAAGCGCACGCAGGCGGUCUGUCAAGUCGGAUGUGAAAUCCCCGGGCUCAACCUGGGAACUGCAUUCGAAACUGGCAGGCUAGAGUCUUGUAGAGGGGGGUAGAAUUCCAGGUGUAGCGGUGAAAUGCGUAGAGAUCUGGAGGAAUACCGGUGGCGAAGGCGGCCCCCUGGACAAAGACUGACGCUCAGGUGCGAAAGCGUGGGGAGCAAACA